GUAUUGCCGACGAGUCUUAUACUAGGACAAAACGGCCGUCCAAUAC
RNAcentral lists this non-coding RNA (46 nucleotides) under Schistosoma mattheei. Lineage: Eukaryota; Metazoa; Platyhelminthes; Trematoda; Strigeidida; Schistosomatidae. The record is from RNAcentral.